This 874-nucleotide ribosomal RNA is filed under the name Limosilactobacillus fermentum. Its description in RNAcentral is "bacterial SSU rRNA". It matches the Rfam family "Bacterial small subunit ribosomal RNA", at positions 209 to 1070 of the family's 1533-position model. The record is from RNAcentral. Lineage: Bacteria; Bacillati; Bacillota; Bacilli; Lactobacillales; Lactobacillaceae.
CUUCUCGCUAUCACUUCUGGAUGGACCUGCGGUGCAUUAGCUUGUUGGUGGGGUAACGGCCUACCAAGGCGAUGAUGCAUAGCCGAGUUGAGAGACUGAUCGGCCACAAUGGGACUGAGACACGGCCCAUACUCCUACGGGAGGCAGCAGUAGGGAAUCUUCCACAAUGGGCGCAAGCCUGAUGGAGCAACACCGCGUGAGUGAAGAAGGGUUUCGGCUCGUAAAGCUCUGUUGUUAAAGAAGAACACGUAUGAGAGUAACUGUUCAUACGUUGACGGUAUUUAACCAGAAAGUCACGGCUAACUACGUGCCAGCAGCCGCGGUAAUACGUAGGUGGCAAGCGUUAUCCGGAUUUAUUGGGCGUAAAGAGAGUGCAGGCGGUUUUCUAAGUCUGAUGUGAAAGCCUUCGGCUUAACCGGAGAAGUGCAUCGGAAACUGGAUAACUUGAGUGCAGAAGAGGGUAGUGGAACUCCAUGUGUAGCGGUGGAAUGCGUAGAUAUAUGGAAGAACACCAGUGGCGAAGGCGGCUACCUGGUCUGCAACUGACGCUGAGACUCGAAAGCAUGGGUAGCGAACAGGAUUAGAUACCCUGGUAGUCCAUGCCGUAAACGAUGAGUGCUAGGUGUUGGAGGGUUUCCGCCCUUCAGUGCCGGAGCUAACGCAUUAAGCACUCCGCCUGGGGAGUACGACCGCAAGGUUGAAACUCAAAGGAAUUGACGGGGGCCCGCACAAGCGGUGGAGCAUGUGGUUUAAUUCGAAGCUACGCGAAGAACCUUACCAGGUCUUGACAUCUUGCGCCAACCCUAGAGAUAGGGCGUUUCCUUCGGGAACGCAAUGACAGGUGGUGCAUGGUCGUCGUCAGCUCGUGUCGUGA